AAACUUGUGCUAAUACCGGAUAAGUCUUUACGGAGAAAGCUUUAUGCACCAUUGGAUGAGCCUGCACUUGAUUAGUUUGUUGGUGGGGUAAUGGCCUACCAAGACUGUGAUCAAUAGCUGAUUUGAGAGGAUGAUCAGCCACAUUGGGACUGAGACACGGCCCAAACUCCUACGGGAGGCAGCAGUGGGGAAUCUUGCACAAUGGAGGAAACUCUGAUGCAGCGAUGCCGCGUGAGUGAAGAAGGCCCUUGGGUUGUAAAGCUCUUUCGUCGGGGAAGAAAAUG
This 284-nucleotide ribosomal RNA is filed under the name uncultured bacterium. RNAcentral's name for it is "partial 16S ribosomal RNA". It matches the Rfam family "Bacterial small subunit ribosomal RNA", at positions 154 to 453 of the family's 1533-position model. The record is from RNAcentral.